GUGCCAGCCGCCGCGGUAAGACGAACCGUGCGAACGUUGUUCGGAAUCACUGGGCUUAAAGGGCGCGUAGGCGGGCAUCAUAGUCAGGGGUGAAAUCCUCCAGCUCAACUGGAGAAGUGCCUCUGAUACUGGGUGCCUCGAGGGGUGCAGGGGCGUGCGGAACUUCCGGUGGAGCGGUGAAAUGCGUAGAUAUCGGAAGGAACACCGGUGGCGAAGGCGGCACGCUGGACACCUUCUGACGCUGAGGCGCGAAAGCCAGGGGAGCAAACGGGAUUAGAAACCCGCGUAGUCC
Molecule: ribosomal RNA, 292 nt
Filed under: uncultured bacterium
Lineage: Bacteria
Description: partial 16S ribosomal RNA
Rfam family: Bacterial small subunit ribosomal RNA
Source: RNAcentral